AUGGAGACAUGAAGAGGAAGAGCUGAGAGAGCAAGGAAUUCAGACAAUUCGUCUAGUUCAAAUCUCACUAGAAGCACCUGGUGGCGAGAGAAGUUUUCCACCCUGAACGGGAAUUAGUUCCAUUCACAUAAGCAGGUGGAAAUGCCUUGAGAUAGAAUUGAAGAGGAAAAAAAUAGAGAUAUUUAUGGGUUAUUGUUUGAUUUUUCAAACCCUAACUAUUAACAUUUAAUUGCUGAUCCGUGUUAUCAUAUUUAGGUGGAGUUUUUACAGCUUGAAAUAGAAAGGUUAGGUGAACGUUGUGGAAAAUGCUAAAAGGGGAGCAACACAACGUGGGAAGUCUGAACAUUGUGAAUUUGG
RNAcentral lists this unclassified non-coding RNA (357 nucleotides) under Hevea brasiliensis (rubber tree). Lineage: Eukaryota; Viridiplantae; Streptophyta; Magnoliopsida; Malpighiales; Euphorbiaceae. The record is from RNAcentral.